GACGAACGCUGGCGGCGUGCUUAACACAUGCAAGUCGAACGGAAAGGCCCUGCUUUUGUGGGGUGCUCGAGUGGCGAACGGGUGAGUAACACGUGAGUAACCUGCCCUUGACUUUGGGAUAACUUCAGGAAACUGGGGCUAAUACCGGAUAGGAGCUCCUGCUGCAUGGUGGGGGUUGGAAAGUUUCGGCGGUAGGGGAUGGACUCGCGGCUUAUCAGCUUGUUGGUGGGGUAGUGGCUUACCAAGGCUUUGACGGGUAGCCGGCCUGAGAGGGUGACCGGGGACAUUGGGACUGAGGGACGGCCCAGACUCCUACGGGAGGCAACGGUGGGGAAUAUUACACAAUGAGCGGGAGCGUGAUGCAGCAGCGCCGCGUGCGGAAUGACCGCCUUCGGGUUGUGAACCGCUUUCGCCUGUGACGAAGCGUGAGUGACGGUAAUGGGUAAAGAAGCACCGGCUAACUACGUG
This 468-nucleotide ribosomal RNA is filed under the name uncultured bacterium. RNAcentral's name for it is "partial 16S ribosomal RNA". It matches the Rfam family "Bacterial small subunit ribosomal RNA", at positions 28 to 507 of the family's 1533-position model. The record is from RNAcentral.